RNAcentral lists this ribosomal RNA (429 nucleotides) under Chloroflexota bacterium. Its description in RNAcentral is "Chloroflexi bacterium partial 16S ribosomal RNA". It matches the Rfam family "Bacterial small subunit ribosomal RNA", at positions 355 to 776 of the family's 1533-position model. Lineage: Bacteria; Bacillati; Chloroflexota. The record is from RNAcentral.
UGGGGAAUAUUGCACAAUGGGCGCAAGCCUGAUGCAGCCAUGCCGCGUGUGUGAAGAAGGCCUUCGGGUUGUAAAGCACUUUCAGCGGGGAGGAAGGCGAUAAGGUUAAUAACCUCAUCGAUUGACGUUACCCGCAGAAGAAGCACCGGCUAACUCCGUGCCAGCAGCCGCGGUAAUACGGAGGGUGCAAUCGUUAAUCGGAAUUACUGGGCGUAAAGCGCACGCAGGCGGUCUGUCAAGUCGGAUGUGAAAUCCCCGGGCUCAACCUGGGAACUGCAUUCGAAACUGGCAGGCUAGAGUCUUGUAGAGGGGGGUAGAAUUCCAGGUGUAGCGGUGAAAUGCGUAGAGAUCUGGAGGAAUACCGGUGGCGAAGGCGGCCCCCUGGACAAAGACUGACGCUCAGGUGCGAAAGCGUGGGGAGCAAACAGG